Molecule: unclassified non-coding RNA, 335 nt
Filed under: soil metagenome
Description: partial contains 5.8S ribosomal RNA, internal transcribed spacer 2, and large subunit ribosomal RNA
Rfam family: 5.8S ribosomal RNA (bases 1-120)
Source: RNAcentral
GAUGAAGAACGCAGCGAAAUGCGAUAAGUAAUGUGAAUUGCAGAAUUCAGUGAAUCAUCGAAUCUUUGAACGCACAUUGCGCCCGCCAGUAUUCUGGCGGGCAUGCCUGUUCGAGCGUCAUUUCAACCAUCAAGCCCCCGGCUUGUGUUGGGGACCUGCGGCUGCCGCAGGCCCUGAAAAGCAGUGGCGGGCUCGCUAGUCACUCCGAGCGUAGUAAUACAUCUCGCUCAGGGCGUGCUGCGGGUUCCGGCCGUUAAAAAGCCUUAUUUACCCAAGGUUGACCUCGGAUCAGGUAGGAAGACCCGCUGAACUUAAGCAUAUCAAUAAGCGGAGGA